ACAAAUCCUCUGUUCUUUUUGUUCUUGUUCUGGAUCCAGAUUUCUGAUUUUUGACAUGCAUUUAGGCAUAUCCUGGUUCCUCUUGAAGUGACCACUCAGCCAAGCUAAAGUCUAGUGGAACAAUAUGGAAGGAAAACAACUUGAGCACAUAUUUCAUUCUCCAAACAACAUCAUCAAUCCAAGAAAGAUUUGGCUACCCAAGAACCAGAAAAGAUCCUUUAGAAACUUGGAGGACUGAGACUAGCAGGGCUCACUCUUGAAAUGACAUAACCCUUGACAGCAAAUUGAAUUGACAGCUUCCCAUAUUAGCAGCCUUUACAAGUGGGAGAGCAUAGCAGGGCAUCUUCAGCUUGGUUGAUUUGGCGAUCAACACUGUCAGAUCAAGCCCCUGCCAACAAAGUUUUCUCAUCUCACCUCACUCCCCUC
Non-coding RNA from Thamnophis sirtalis, 426 nucleotides. The record is from RefSeq and is a predicted model, not a curated record. Lineage: Eukaryota; Metazoa; Chordata; Lepidosauria; Squamata; Natricidae.